UGACGGUACCCUUUCGAAUAAGAGGUUGCUAACUCUGUGCCAGCAGCAGCGGUAAUACAGAGACCUCGAGCGUUAUCCGGAUUUACUGGGCGUAAAGCGUCUGUAGGGGGUUUGUUAAGUUCCAAGUAAAAUCUUAAGGCUCAACUUUAAGUUCGCUUGGAAAACUAAUAAACUGGAGUCCAGCAGAGGUGCAUGGAACUUGCGGUGUAGGAGUGAAAUCCGUUGAUAUCGCAAGGAACACCAAAGGCGAAGGCAUUGCACUGGGCUGGUACUGACCCUGAGAGACGAAAGCGUGGGGAGCAAAACGGAUUAGAUACCCGUGUAGUCCACGCCGUAAACGAUGGAUACUAGAUGUUCGGGGAUUCGACCCCCUGGGUGUCACAGCUAACGCGUUAAGUAUCCCGCCUGGGAAGUACGGCCGCAAGGCUAAAACUCAAAGGAAUAGACGGGGAUCCGCACAAGCGGUGGAGCGUCUGGUUUAAUUUGAUAGUAAGCAAUGGACCUCACCAAGGUUUGACAUCCUAUGACAACCCUGGAAACAGGGCUUCCUUCGGGCAUAGUGACAGGUGCUGCAUGGUCGUCGUCAGUUCGUGCCGUGAGGUGUUCCGUUAAGUCGGGAAGCGAACGAAACCCUCGUCGCAUGUUACAAAUUUCAUGCGAGACUGCCCGGGUCAACCGGGAGGAAGGCGGGGAUGACGUCAGAUCAGCAUGGCCCUUAUACCUUGGGCUACACAGGCGCUACAAUGGCCGGUACAAAGGGUUGCAAAACCGCGAGGUGAAGCUAAUCCCAUAAAGCCGGUCCAAGUUCGGAUUGGAGGCUGCAACUCGCCUCCAUGAAGUUGGAAUCGCUAGUAAUCGUGGAUCAGCCAUACCACGGUGAUACGUUCCCGGAUCUUGUACUCACCGCCCGUCACACCAAGAGAGUUGGUAGCUCCACUGAAGCGUCGCAUUAGCGGUACCACGGAGAGAUCAGCGAUAGGGGUGAA
Molecule: ribosomal RNA, 986 nt
Filed under: uncultured organism
Description: bacterial SSU rRNA
Rfam family: Bacterial small subunit ribosomal RNA
Source: RNAcentral